UGGUGAACCAGCGGAGGGAUCAUUACCGAAGUUACCUUCAAAACCCACUGUGAACCUUACCUCUUGCCGCGUUGUCUCGGCGGGAGGCGGGGUGCGUCAAGGCCCUCGGGCCGCGCCGCUCCCCGUCCCCGCCGGCGGCGCCAAACUCUAAAUGCACAGCGGACUGUACGUUCUGAUUUACAAAAAAAACAAGUUAAAACUUUCAACAACGGAUCUCUUGGUUCUGG
RNAcentral lists this unclassified non-coding RNA (227 nucleotides) under uncultured fungus. RNAcentral describes it as "partial contains 18S rRNA, ITS1 and 5.8S rRNA". The record is from RNAcentral. Lineage: Eukaryota; Fungi.